This 371-nucleotide ribosomal RNA is filed under the name uncultured Parvibaculum sp. RNAcentral describes it as "bacterial SSU rRNA". It matches the Rfam family "Bacterial small subunit ribosomal RNA", at positions 527 to 898 of the family's 1533-position model. The record is from RNAcentral. Lineage: Bacteria; Pseudomonadati; Pseudomonadota; Alphaproteobacteria; Hyphomicrobiales; Parvibaculaceae.
GAAGGGGGCUAGCGUUGUUCGGAAUUACUGGGCGUAAAGCGCACGUAGGCGGCAUUCCAAGUUGGAGGUGAAAUCCCCGGGCUUAACCUGGGAACUGCCUCCAAAACUGGGAAGCUCGAGUCCGAGAGAGGUGAGUGGAAUUUCCAGUGUAGAGGUGAAAUUCGUAGAUAUUGGAAAGAACACCAGUGGCGAAGGCGGCUCACUGGCUCGGUACUGACGCUGAGGUGCGACAGCGUGGGGAGCAAACAGGAUUAGAUACCCUGGUAGUCCACGCCGUAAACGAUGGGUGCUAGUUGUCAGGCAGCUUGCUGUUUGGUGACGCAGCUAACGCAUUAAGCACCCCGCCUGGGGAGUACGGUCGCAAGAUUAAA